GACGGAGGGGGCGAGCGUUGUCCGGAAUUACUGGGCGUAAAGGGCGCGUAGGCGGUUCUGUACGGCGGUGGUGAAAGCUCCCGGCUCAACUGGGUGAGGCCCGCCGCAACGGCAGGACUCGAGGGUGGUAGAGGCGGAUGGAAUUCCUGGUGUAACGGUGAAAUGUGUAGAGAUCAGGAGGAACACCCGUGGCGAAGGCGGUCCGCUGGGCCAUGCCGGACGCUGAGGCGCGAAAGCCAGGGGAGCGAACGGGAUUAGAUACCCCGGUAGUCUUGGCCGUAAACGAUGCAGACUAGGUGUCAGCGGUAUCGACCCCGCUGGUGCCGGAGCUAACGCGUGAAGUCUGCCGCCUGGGGAGUACGGCCGCAAGGUUGAA
Molecule: ribosomal RNA, 376 nt
Filed under: uncultured bacterium
Lineage: Bacteria
Description: bacterial SSU rRNA
Rfam family: Bacterial small subunit ribosomal RNA
Source: RNAcentral